GGGGUUAAAGUCCCGUAACGAGCGCAACCCUUGUCCUUAGUUACCAGCACGUUAUGGUGGGCACUCUAAGGAGACUGCCGGUGACAAACCGGAGGAAGGUGGGGAUGACGUCAAGUCAUCAUGGCCCUUACGGCCUGGGCUACACACGUGCUACAAUGGUCGGUACAAAGGGUUGCCAAGCCGCGAGGUGGAGCUAAUCCCAUAAAACCGAUCGUAGUCCGGAUCGCAGUCUGCAACUCGACUGCGUGAAGUCGGAAUCGCUAGUAAUCGUGAAUCAGAAUGUCACGGUGAAUACGUUCCCGGGCCUU
Molecule: ribosomal RNA, 308 nt
Filed under: uncultured Pseudomonas sp.
Lineage: Bacteria; Pseudomonadati; Pseudomonadota; Gammaproteobacteria; Pseudomonadales; Pseudomonadaceae
Description: bacterial SSU rRNA
Rfam family: Bacterial small subunit ribosomal RNA
Source: RNAcentral